ACUCCCUUUAAAAACGGUCCCGCGAGGCCGGAAAGGGAGGGAUUCGGCACCUGUAGGGGAGGAUUCCCCGGGGAGCCGAGAACCUCUGCGCCGGCGCAGAGGUUUUUUUAU
This 111-nucleotide small RNA is filed under the name Kyrpidia spormannii. Its description in RNAcentral is "PyrR". It matches the Rfam family "PyrR binding site". From Rfam's summary of the family: This family represents the PyrR binding site and terminator structure. This RNA structure is found upstream of a variety of genes involved in pyrimidine biosynthesis and transport. Lineage: Bacteria; Bacillati; Bacillota; Bacilli; Caryophanales; Alicyclobacillaceae. The record is from RNAcentral.